This is a long non-coding RNA of Phragmites australis (common reed), 2118 nucleotides long. RefSeq lists it as uncharacterized. The transcript has 7 exons. The record is from RefSeq and is a predicted model, not a curated record. Lineage: Eukaryota; Viridiplantae; Streptophyta; Magnoliopsida; Poales; Poaceae.
UUUCUAGGGAGAGGAGAGGAAGGGAGGACAACCGCGCGUGAGAGAAAAGAGGAGAGGAGGAGGGGGAAGAACAGGAGGCGAGGCAAGGAAGGAGACGAGAGGUUGUAGGAAAGAGGUGGAGGAGGAGGAAGGAAAAGCACCUCAAUAGGAGGUGCAAGUCCUUGCAUUGGUAUGGGUGAUCGCCUAUGAUUCAUCAUGUCUCAUGGAGUAUCUUCAAUCCUACGUCGAGAAGAUCGGCCACCAUCAUCUUGGUACUAGAGACUCAUUCACUCGGUUAUGAUAUUGAAGAAAAGAAAGAUCCUCAAGCGACGGUGAAGUAUUUUCAAUACACCGCAAUACGAGAUUGUUUCAAAAGGGAGCUGCAUAAUGGUUUGAAUCAACUCCAAGAGAACCAUGGACAAUUUGCUACAAACAUCACUAGGGAUUUACAGAACGUACAAAUUCAAGCGCAGCAAAAUAUGGAGAACCUACAGGGUGACAUUGUUGCAUUGGCUUGAGUGUUGCAACGUUGAGACAAUAUAACCGAGAUGCUGCCAAUGGUUUUCAUCCAGUAAGAGGCCAUGCUCGAGCCAAUGGGCGUUGCCAAGGUGGGGCUGAAAUUGGUGCUGAGUAUGGUGCAAAUUUCAAAGUCCGGCGAUAUGAUAAUUACAAUCAUUGUCCACACAACAAUGAUGAAGAAGGGUUAGGCAAACUCAACAUCUCUAUGCCUAAGUUCACCGGAGGUACUGAUCCUGAAGAUUAUCUCACUUGGGAGUUGAAAUGUGACAAGAUAUUUCACAGUUAUCAUUUUUGGAACAAAACAAACUUCAAAUGGCAUCAGUAGAAUUUGAUGAAUAUGCUUUGCAUUGGUGGGAGCAAGUUAUGAAUCAGCAAGAAAAAAUUGAGAAUCACCUAUAGCUAUUUGGGCUGCUAUGAAAUAUGAGAUGAGAGCAUGUUUUGUGCCUACACAUUAUAGACAUGAUUAAUUUGACGAGCAUCAAAAUAUGAGGCAAGGUGCUCAAAUUGUGAUAGCCUAUUAAUGGUGGAAAUUUCUAUUUCAAGGGAUAGCCUAGUAGGAGUGAAGCUUUAGGAGGCUCAUCUAGUUCUCAAGUUUCAGCUAGCAAGGAAGAAGAAACUACAGCCCCACAUUCAUAGAUAUUCACGUAAGGGGUAACAAGGUGGCACCCUCUGGGCAAAUCACUUGGCACCAUACACCUCGACAUGGGACUAUGCCCUUGAGGAUGUCGUCGAGGAGCCUCAUCCUUUCUCCAACCCAGGCUACGAGGAGUAACUGUGGUGGUAUGUCUCACGCACACGUACACGGUCACCUACACCCUAGAUAUUGUUAGGCCGCACGUCACUUCGACUACGGAAACCUACCUGGGCCAUUGGGACGAGGACGCUGCAUGAGCGUCCGAUAUCAUAUACGAUAUCCAUAGGGUCGUGGCUGGAGCCAUGGGACACAUCAGGUAAGGGAUGCAGCUUAGUGCGGCAGAUGUAGCGGGAUUUAUCAAGUGGGUUUUUGACAAGACCGCACAGGCCCUGACGUAGACAUCGUCAGUGCCCCUUCCAGGUCCAGUGGGGUCCAUGCAGGGUUGUCCAGGAGGUUUGAUGUGCAAUGACAUCCAUAGGGGCCGACAUCGACACCGCCACCUCGACCACGCACUCCAGGACCGGUAACAAUAGGUUACUACGGUUAUGAAGUCGGGAUGUCUGCAUCUGCACCUCCACCAUUCGUACCCUACUUCGGCGAUCAAGCCAGGCCAUCUACAGCUACCCCUGCAUACCAUACAGGCCCCUGAGUGAUUAGGCAUGGACGACAGCGGUGGCAACAUCGCAGUCAUCAUACCUGAGUCAGGAGGAUGAGCCUGGCUCAGACCCUACGUUCGACAUCGUGAGGGACUUCUUCGGGGGUACCCCGAAAUACGCAGUCGUCACGGGUCCCAAGUUGCCUAGUGCUCCACUACCGAUGCAGCAGACCCAGGAGGAGGCCUUGAUGCCCACGAUUGCUAGAGGCCUACCAGGCAGGUUGUUCCACCGAACAACCUGGCCUACUCUAGGGGCCACGUGAGGACGAACUAGCGAUAGCGGUGAUAGGACCAUGAUGGUGGGAAUAACCGACGGCAACGAGAGAGACAG